GCUUUUAGCUCAGUGGUCGAGCGUUGGCUUUGGAAGCCACAGGUCGGUGGUUCGAACCCGCCAGGCA
RNAcentral lists this transfer RNA (67 nucleotides) under Phytophthora infestans T30-4. It matches the Rfam family "tRNA". From Rfam's summary of the family: Transfer RNA (tRNA) molecules are approximately 80 nucleotides in length. Their secondary structure includes four short double-helical elements and three loops (D, anti-codon, and T loops). Lineage: Eukaryota; Oomycota; Peronosporomycetes; Peronosporales; Peronosporaceae. The record is from Rfam by way of RNAcentral.